CCCUUAGAUGUCCUGGGCCGCACGCGCGCUACACUGAUGCAUGCAACGAGUUUCACUUUUCCUGGGUCGAGAGGCCCGGGUAAUCUGUUGAACGUGCAUCGUGAUAGGGAUAGAUCAUUGCAAUUAUUGAUCUUGAACGAGGAAUUCCUAGUAAACGCGAGUCAUCAGCUCGCAUUGAUUACGUCCCUGCCCUUUGUACACACCGCCCGUCGCACCUACCGAUUGAAUGGUCCGGUGAGGCUUUGGGAUCUGAGCGGAAAGAGCGUUUCGCUGUUUCUGCCCGGAAAACUCAGUCGAACCUUAUCAUUUAGAGGAAGGAGAAGUCGUAACA
This 331-nucleotide ribosomal RNA is filed under the name uncultured eukaryote. RNAcentral describes it as "partial 18S ribosomal RNA". It matches the Rfam family "Eukaryotic small subunit ribosomal RNA", at positions 1470 to 1796 of the family's 1831-position model. The record is from RNAcentral.